GUAGGCAGCGCAUCAGGGCUUCUCGACCCGGGCACUACUCGCCCGGGUCGAAAACGUUCCAUGUUAGAGAUGUCUGAAAAAUGGGGACAGUUUUGUGCUAGUGGUAUUAAAGUUUGUGUUCGGGUUCUUCAUAAGUGAUAAAUGACUGUUGUAUUUUAUUUUGGUUGUUAUUAUAUAACAUUCAGAUUGUGUUUUAUAAUGGAGCUCAGCUAGUUUCUCAAAUGGAGUUGUGCUAUGUCGUAUGCGGUCAUGGCAUGUAGCUGCUAACUACCCAGAAAGGAAGUCCAUUUUUGGUGUUCUACUAUUGCGUCAACCUGCAAACAACACGUAAUAAAACGGAACUUCUGUCCUUCGCACGAGAUAACAUCAAACGAAUUUACUGGAACAGAAUUCGUGGAAAAAUUUAGUGAUGAUCGUAAUCCACGACUUCGGUUAUUCUUGAAGGAAAAAAGAAGAAACGUGAUCAGUGCAUAGUACUUGCACGGAAUUAAAUUUAUAA
This is a long non-coding RNA of Ctenocephalides felis (cat flea), 499 nucleotides long. RefSeq lists it as uncharacterized. The transcript has 3 exons. NCBI's taxonomy places the organism in Eukaryota, Metazoa, Arthropoda, Insecta, Siphonaptera, Pulicidae. The record is from RefSeq and is a predicted model, not a curated record.